GGCGGACGGGUGAGUAAUGUAUAGGAACUUGCCUAGUAGUGGGGGACAACGCGCGGAAACGCACGCUAAUACCGCAUACGCUCUACGGAGGAAAGCGGGGGCUCUUCGGACCUCGUGCUACUAGAUAGGCCUAUAUUGGAUUAGCUAGUUGGUAAGGUAAAGGCUUACCAAGGCGACGAUCCAUAGCUGGUUUGAGAGAAUGAUCAGCCACACUGGGACUGAGACACGGCCCAG
This 234-nucleotide ribosomal RNA is filed under the name uncultured bacterium. Its description in RNAcentral is "partial 16S ribosomal RNA". It matches the Rfam family "Bacterial small subunit ribosomal RNA", at positions 97 to 334 of the family's 1533-position model. The record is from RNAcentral.